AGCGAACGCUGGCGGCAGGCUUAACACAUGCAAGUCGAACGGGCACUUCGGUGCUAGUGGCAGACGGGUGAGUAACACGUGGGAACGUACUUUCGGUUCGGAAUAAUCCAGGGAAACUUGGACUAAUACCGGAUACGCCCUUCGGGGGAAAGAUUCAUCGCCGAUAGAUCGGCCCGCGUCUGAUUAGCUAGUUGGUGAGGUAAUGGCUCACCAAGGCGACGAUCAGUAGCUGGUCUGAGAGGAUGAUCAGCCACAUUGGGACUGAGACACGGCCCAAACUCCUACGGGAGGCAGCAGUGGGGAAUAUUGGACAAUGGGCGCAAGACUGAUCCAGCCAUGCCGCGUGAGUGAUGAAGGCCUUAGGGUUGUAAAGCUCUUUUGUCCGGGAAGAUAAUGACUGUACCGGAAGAAUAAGCCCCGGCUAACUUCGUG
This 432-nucleotide ribosomal RNA is filed under the name uncultured bacterium. RNAcentral describes it as "partial 16S ribosomal RNA". It matches the Rfam family "Bacterial small subunit ribosomal RNA", at positions 29 to 507 of the family's 1533-position model. The record is from RNAcentral.